Molecule: long non-coding RNA, 936 nt
Organism: Helianthus annuus (common sunflower)
Lineage: Eukaryota; Viridiplantae; Streptophyta; Magnoliopsida; Asterales; Asteraceae
Exons: 3
Source: RefSeq, a predicted model, not a curated record
GAUAGAAGAGGAAGUUCAUCAGACUUUAAGACGCUCCCCAGGGCAGGCUAGGGAUUUCACCCAUGAACCCUAAUAUCCCAUUAUAUAUGAAUCGUUUUGCAAUUGUGAGACGUGAAGAUAGAAAGGCAGAUUGAAUGCGAAUUGCAGAUGAAGCAUCGUGUGUUUCAAUUUCAUCUCAAGUUCAUCAUGGUUGAAACACACAAGACACAUCUCACCAAUUUUAAAUGCAGGAGCAACACAAAGUUUCGACGACAACAACACUGAUUUAGACUCCUAUUUGUUUGAUUUCUUCAAUUUCAUCUCAUCAAUCCGACCACCUGCUUAGGUUUUCCUCAAAAGUACAUCAUGGCGAUGGAAUCGGGAAUCUAUCCGAUGUGUUGUGGGAGGCCGUUUCUACAGGUCAAUUUGUAUCAUUAUAUCAGGGUCUUGGAACAAAGAAUUUGCAAUCAUUUAUAGCACAGUUUGUGUACUUUUACAGAUAUAGUUAUUUUAAAACGGUGUACCAGGUAAAAUAUGGUACAAAAUCAAUUGGAACAAAACCAAAUUUGCUUCUUGCUGCUUCUGCCGGGGCAUAUGUACUGCCAUCAUAACUCAGGUGGUGGGAUUAGCUAGAGCCAUGAUCAAACAUUAUAAAAAGGUAGAAGGGUUAGGUGAUGCGGUGGACAUAGUUCGAACGGGUGGUGAUGGUGCAAACGCCGUAAAUAUCUCAACCGGAUCAUCGAUAUUAGCAGCGGCUUGUGGAGCAAGAGUUGCAAAGGUUUCUGGAUAUGUAUCUUCAGUUUCAUUGCUGAAUUAUAAUCACAACCAUUUUUAUCUAUCUUGAGGCUUUUCUUGAAAGUUGUUAUCACAUUAGGUUGUAAUUAUCCAACCUAUUAACGGGUCAACUUUGUUUGAUCUCAUAGUUAAUAUUGUUAUAAUCAAAACGUUAGCUUAAAA